GGGCCCGCACAAGCAGUGGAGUAUGUGGUUUAAUUCGACGCAACGCGAAGAACCUUACCAAGACUUGACAUAUACAGGAAUAUCUGGGAAAUCAGAUAGUUCUUCGGAACUUGUAUACAGGUGAUGCAUGGUUGUCGUCAGCUCGUGUCGUGAGAUGUUGGGUUAAGUCCCGCAACGAGCGCAACCCUCGUGAUUAGUUGCUGCCAAGCAGAACUCUAAUCAGACUGCCGUAGUUAAUACGGAGGAAGGUGAGGAUGACGUCAAAUCAUCACGUCCCUUAUGUCUUGGGCUACACACGUACUACAAUGGCUACUACAAAGAGAAGCAAUACCGUAAGGUGGAGCAAAACUGUAAAAAGUAGCCCUAGUUCGGAUUGGGGGCUGCAACCCGCCCCCAUGAAGCUGGAAUUGCUAGUAAUCAUAGGUCAGCAUACUAUGGUGAAUACGUUCCCGGGCCUU
RNAcentral lists this ribosomal RNA (458 nucleotides) under uncultured bacterium. Its description in RNAcentral is "bacterial SSU rRNA". It matches the Rfam family "Bacterial small subunit ribosomal RNA", at positions 917 to 1382 of the family's 1533-position model. The record is from RNAcentral.